GGCGACGUCAUAACGGCGCCAAGUUACGGCCCUGGUUUUCUGGAAAUCGUCAGUGAUCCGGGGCCAUUAAACGCGUUGUAUGUGUCUUGCAAUUUGAUCCUGGGAGCGCUCGGUGCGCCGAUCGGAGAGUAAUUUACGCGAAUUCCUCGCUCGUCGCCGUCGUCCUGUGUUCUCUUUUCGUGUGUUCCCCCCGUCUCAUCCUUUUCUCUCUCUUGCUCUUUCUUUUUCUCUCUCCACUGUUUGCAGCUUUGUAGCCUUUUACCACCCUCCAGGUGGCCCAGUCCUCUUUUCUCUCAAGUUUUGUCUUUUAGAUUGUCGCGAGUAUCUUCGUCGCAAAUUUCAAUCUUUUCCCACCGAAUUUUCACUCAUUUUCGUCCCUAUUUUAUCAUUGUUUUUUUUAUUACCCUUCACUCGUUAUUCCCGCUGUUUUACAUCUCUGAAUAAACAAGGCGAAGAACAUAAUACAAAAGUUUCAACUUUUUUGCACCGGGGGGCCCAUCGUUUCGUGCACGUCUUGUGAUUUUUUCUGCAAGCUAAAUGAUUGGAAUUUAUCGCUGAGCUGUGAUGCAGGGCAUUAUGCCGGUUAAGACGAAAACCAGGGUGACCGAAAAUAUGGGAGUUAACGGAGGUCUCGUCGACGCUCGCGCCAAACAAGUGCUCAGAGAAGCGGUCGACGCGGUCGUCAACAGUUUUGCGAAGCAUACCCAAGGCUAUGGAAGAGUUAACGUCGUGGAAGCCCUGCAAGAAUUUUGGCAAAUGAAACAGAGUCGAGGAACCGAGCUCCGGAACGGAGCCCUCGUCAUAUACGAAUCCGUGCCAGGGGCCAGUCCUCCGUACGUUUGCUACGUCACUCUCCCCGGGGGCUCGUGUUUUGGAAGCUUUCAAAAUUGUCCGACGAAGGCAGAAGCUCGUAGAUCAGCGGCUAAGAUAGCUCUUAUGAAUUCGGUCUUCAACGAGCAUCCGUCGAGGAAAAUUACGGACGAUUUCAUUGAGAAAGCUGUUGCCGAGGCGAGAGCCAGUUUUGCCAAACCUGCUUCAACUUCGACUGGCGUUGGCACAGUAUUGAGCCAGAGUGCGAACGAUGAGAAAGAGGAUCCGAACACAGGAAUCGGUGCUUUUCGUUUCAUGCUCGAGUGCAAUCGUGGCAGAACGAUGCUCGAGUUCCAAGAACUGAUGACAGUUUUUCAAUUAUUGCAUUGGAACGGUUCGUUGAAAGCGAUGAGAGAGAGACAGUGCAGCAGACAGGAAGUCGUCGCUCAUUACAGCCACCGCGUAUUGGACGACGAUAUGAGAAGUCAAAUGGCGUUGGAUUGGGUGGCACGAGAACACGAAAGUGGUGGCGGCGUCGUUGCCAUGGAAUUGAUCGUCGCUGAGAGGGAAUUAGAAACUGCGAGAUUGGCAGGUCGCGAAUUGAGAUUCCCCAAGGAGAAAAAAGAUAUUCUUAUGCUCGCUCAUGCACAAGUUUGUCCACAGUGAUUUCGUACUCGCAUUUCCAUCGGCUGCCUCGAUCAAAAUUACUAUUACCCCACAAAAACUUUUACUGGCUCGAGGGACUCUUUUUAAAUGGUGAAAACUUUCGGGUGAUUUUUGUCUAAAGACUUUUUAUUUCAAGGGACGCGGUAGCGAUUUGACGCCAACUACGAAGAAAUUCACUUCUAUGCUGAUUUGAUAGUCUCCGCAUUUUGGUGGAAUUUUGGAAUUUAACUUUUUAUGAAUUUCAUACUCUAUUGACAUAAUGAGGAAAUUCAUUUGGACAGAAUUAGUGCAAAAAAUACUGAGUGGGCGGGGGCAAAUAGUGCCACAAAUGCGGAGAUUUUUCUCCCCCAAAGGGGUUUUUCUUUCAGGAGUCCUGAGAGUUCGAAUUGGGGCAUACGAUACCGUAUUUUACGCAGGAGUAUUGGAUCUCCGAUUGAAAAAAAAACUGAAGCCUUUUCAUAUUUAUUAAUAGUGAAAGUAUCGCAUGGAAAUAACACACGAAUUCAAUGUGCCCUCGAUGCGGUUUUAAUUCGAAAUCAUGUGUGCUAGUCACGUUUAUAAAUGUGGAUUAUUGAAAAAAUGCAAUAUUAUUCAGGUGACACAAUUGCUCAUUCGCUUUUGUUGGAUGAAACUCUUCAAGUGUUUUUAUAUGUCCGGGAUAAUAGUUGAAAAUCAUUUUCUCAUUCGCACACAAUGAUUUCACAUUUAUUUGUCUCUGAGAAAGACAAUUGCUGCAUUUACUAGAGAAGAAACUUCUUCCAAGCUCGUUCCUCAAAAAUUCCUCAAAAACGAAAUUCAUUGUUUUUAUUUAUAUUUUUUCAUCACCAAAAUGUGAAAAUUUAUAACGUAUAACUCGAAACGAAUUUCUGGUCACGCGAAACGAAUAUUUAGGUCGAUUGUUAUGGAAAAAUUGUGAAUAUCAUAAACACUGGUUUGUUACGAAAAAAAAAAAAACAAAUUUUAAAGCGUACAAAUUGGACGUAGACAGAAAA
RNAcentral lists this unclassified non-coding RNA (2468 nucleotides) under Venturia canescens. RNAcentral's name for it is "protein limb expression 1 homolog, transcript variant X3". The record is from RNAcentral. Lineage: Eukaryota; Metazoa; Arthropoda; Insecta; Hymenoptera; Ichneumonidae.